RNAcentral lists this long non-coding RNA (386 nucleotides) under Salmo salar (Atlantic salmon). Its description in RNAcentral is "lncRNA (ENSSSAG00000081958.1)". The record is from RNAcentral. Lineage: Eukaryota; Metazoa; Chordata; Actinopteri; Salmoniformes; Salmonidae.
GGUAUUACUGUUGGAGCUAGAAACACAAGCAUAUUGCUGGGUAUUACUGUUGGAGCUAGAAACACAAGCAUAUUGCUGGGUAUUACUGUUGGAGCUAGAAACACAAGCAUAUUGCUGGGUAUUACUGUUGGAGCUAGAAACACAAGCAUAUUGCUAGGUAUUACUGUUGGAGCUAGAAACACAAGCAUAUUGCUAGGUAUUACUGUACUGUUGGAGCUAGAAACACAAGCAUAUUGCUAGGUAUUACUGUUGGAGCUAGAAACACAAGCAUAUUGCUAGGUAUUACUGUACUGUUGGAGCUAGAAACACAAGCAUAUUGCUAGGUAUUACUGUUGGAGCCAGAAACACAAGCAUAUUGCUGGGUAUUACUGUUGGAGCUGGAAACA